Small nuclear RNA from Otolemur garnettii (small-eared galago), 134 nucleotides. The record is from Ensembl. NCBI's taxonomy places the organism in Eukaryota, Metazoa, Chordata, Mammalia, Primates, Galagidae.
AAAAAGGACUUUUGUCAUGAGUGGCACACGUGGGGCAACCCAACUGCUCUUCAUGAGGAAUCGACAUCAAGAGAUUUCAGAAGCGUAAUUUUUUGGUACCUGGGCAACUGGUGAUCGUUGGCCCCAGCGCCCGU